RNAcentral lists this unclassified non-coding RNA (204 nucleotides) under Hevea brasiliensis (rubber tree). Lineage: Eukaryota; Viridiplantae; Streptophyta; Magnoliopsida; Malpighiales; Euphorbiaceae. The record is from RNAcentral.
GAAUCGAUAUACUAAAACACUUCACUUUUGAACAUAGUAAAGACAAAGAGAUAUCACAGAGAGGGUCUCAAAUCCAUUUUUAUAGCAUUUCAGUGACCUUAAAUAACUAAUACAAUAAUCAGAAAAGAAAUUUCCAAUUUGGGAUAUUUAAGCAUGACCAACUUGUGAUCACAUAGCUUUGAAUAAGCCAAUGUACCCAAUAAU